Molecule: transfer RNA, 72 nt
Filed under: Ovis aries (sheep)
Lineage: Eukaryota; Metazoa; Chordata; Mammalia; Artiodactyla; Bovidae
Rfam family: tRNA
About the family: Transfer RNA (tRNA) molecules are approximately 80 nucleotides in length.
Source: Rfam by way of RNAcentral
UCCCUGGUGGCUCAGAUGGUAGAGAAACUGCCUGCAAUGCAGGGGACCCAGGUUCAAUUGCUGGUUCAGGAA